Molecule: ribosomal RNA, 301 nt
Filed under: uncultured bacterium
Lineage: Bacteria
Description: partial 16S ribosomal RNA
Rfam family: Bacterial small subunit ribosomal RNA
Source: RNAcentral
CAGUAGCCGCGGUAAUACGAAGGGGGCUAGCGUUGUUCGGAAUUACUGGGCGUAAAGCGCACGCAGGCGGCUCGAUAAAUUAGAAGUGAAAGCCUUGGGCUUAACCUGAGAAUUGCUUUUAAGACUGUCGAGCUAGAAUCCAGAAGAGGGUAGUGGAAUUCCGAGUGUAGAGGUGAAAUUCGUAGAUAUUCGGAAGAACACCAGUGGCGAAGGCGACUACCUGGUCUGGCAUUGACGCUCAUGUGCGAAAGCGUGGGGAGCAAACAGGAUUAGAUACCCCCGUAGUCCCUGUCUCUUAUAC